GAUGAACGCUGGCGGCGUGCCUAAUACAUGCCAGUCGAGCGAACAGAUAAGGAGCUUGCUCCUUUGACGUUAGCGGCGGACGGGUGAGUUACACGUGGAUAACCUGCCUAUAAGACUGGGAUAACUUCGGGAAACCGGAGCUAAUACCGGAUAACAUAUUGAACCGCAUGGUUCAAUAGUGAAAGGCGGCUUUGCUGUCACUUAUAGAUGGAUCCGCGCCGUAUUAGCUAGUUGGUAAGGUAACGGCUUACCAAGGCAACGAUACGUAGCCGACCUGAGAGGGUGAUCGGCCACACUGGAACUGAGACACGGUCCAGACUCCUACGGGAGGCAGCAGUAGGGAAUCUUCCGCAAUGGGCGAAAGCCUGACGGAGCAACGCCGCGUGAGUGAUGAAGGUCUUCGGAUCGUAAAACUCUGUUAUCAGGGAAGAACAAAUGUGUAAGUAACUGUGCACAUCUUGACGGUACCUGAUCAGAAAGCCACGGCUAACUACGUG
Molecule: ribosomal RNA, 497 nt
Filed under: uncultured bacterium
Lineage: Bacteria
Description: partial 16S ribosomal RNA
Rfam family: Bacterial small subunit ribosomal RNA
Source: RNAcentral